This 210-nucleotide long non-coding RNA is filed under the name Gossypium barbadense (sea-island cotton). Its description in RNAcentral is "long non-coding RNA (GBAR_LNC005273)". The record is from RNAcentral. Lineage: Eukaryota; Viridiplantae; Streptophyta; Magnoliopsida; Malvales; Malvaceae.
CAUGCCCGUGCUGCUGGCCACUGCACCAGGCUUCCUUCCUUGCUAAUAUAUGUCACAAUAAAUUAUAAACCUUACCUGCUUCAGUUCUGGCCCACUUUAAAAAUAAAACAGGAUUCGCUCACGUACGGAAUCGAACCUGCGCCCUCUCCAUAUGUCCAGCACGCUGCUGCCACUGCGCCACAGGCGCUCUUUAUAUUAAAUUAUACCCGC